RNAcentral lists this ribosomal RNA (560 nucleotides) under uncultured Basidiomycota. RNAcentral's name for it is "partial 18S ribosomal RNA". The stretch from base 128 to 281 matches the Rfam family "5.8S ribosomal RNA". The record is from RNAcentral. Lineage: Eukaryota; Fungi; Basidiomycota.
UGGAGUCCGAACUCUCACUUUCUAACCCUGUGCACUUGUUUGGGAUAGUAACUCUCGCAAGAGAGCGAACUCCUAUUCACUUAUAAACACAAAGUCUAUGAAUGUAUUAAAUUUUAUAACAAAAUAAAACUUUCAACAACGGAUCUCUUGGCUCUCGCAUCGAUGAAGAACGCAGCGAAAUGCGAUAAGUAAUGUGAAUUGCAGAAUUCAGUGAAUCAUCGAAUCUUUGAAUGCACCUUGCGCUCCAUGGUAUUCCGUGGAGCAUGCCUGUUUGAGUGUCAUGAAUACUUCAACCCUCCUCUUUCUUAAUGAUUGAAGAGGUGUUUGGUUUCUGAGCGCUGCUGGCCUUUACGGUCUAGCUCGUUCGUAAUGCAUUAGCAUCCGCAAUCGAACUUCGGAUUGACUUGGCGUAAUAGACUAUUCGCUGAGGAAUUCCAGUCUUCGGAUUAGAGCCGGGUUGGGUUAAAGGAAGCUUCUAAUCAGAAUGUCUACAUUUUAAGAUUAGAUCUCAAAUCAGGUAGGACUACCCGCUGAACUUAAGCAUAUCAAUAAGCGGAGGA